GAUGAAGAACGCAGCGAAAUGCGAUAAGUAAUGUGAAUUGCAGAAUUCAGUGAAUCAUCGAAUCUUUGAACGCACAUUGCGCCCCCUGGUAUUCCGGGGGGCAUGCCUGUUCGAGCGUCAUUUCACCACUCAAGCCUCGCUUGGUAUUGGGCAACGCGGUCCGCCGCGUGCCUCAAAUCGACCGGCUGGGUCUUCUGUCCCCUAAGCGUUGUGGAAACUAUUCGCUAAAGGGUGCUCGGGAGGCUACGCCGUAAAACAAACCCAUUUCUAAGGUUGACCUCGGAUCAGGUAGGGAUACCCGCUGAACUUAAGCAUAUCAAAGCGGAGGA
This 329-nucleotide unclassified non-coding RNA is filed under the name soil metagenome. RNAcentral's name for it is "partial contains 5.8S ribosomal RNA, internal transcribed spacer 2, and large subunit ribosomal RNA". The stretch from base 1 to 120 matches the Rfam family "5.8S ribosomal RNA", at positions 35 to 154 of the family's 154-position model. The record is from RNAcentral.